UACGGAGGGGGCUAGCGUUGUUCGGAAUUACUGGGCGUAAAGCGCACGUAGGCGGCUUUGCAAGUUAGAGGUGAAAGCCCGGGGCUCAACUCCGGAAUUGCCUUUAAAACUGCAUCGCUAGAAUUGUGGAGAGGUAAGUGGAAUUCCGAGUGUAGAGGUGAAAUUCGUAGAUAUUCGGAAGCACACCAGUGGCGAAGGCGGCUCACUGGACUGGUAUUGACGCUGAGGUGCGAAAGCGUGGGGAGCAAACAGG
This 253-nucleotide ribosomal RNA is filed under the name uncultured bacterium. Its description in RNAcentral is "partial 16S ribosomal RNA". It matches the Rfam family "Bacterial small subunit ribosomal RNA", at positions 524 to 776 of the family's 1533-position model. The record is from RNAcentral.